Molecule: small RNA, 126 nt
Filed under: Serratia sp. Ag1
Lineage: Bacteria; Pseudomonadati; Pseudomonadota; Gammaproteobacteria; Enterobacterales; Yersiniaceae
Also listed under: 1 other name
Description: RtT RNA
Rfam family: RtT RNA
About the family: This family represents a bacterial cis-regulatory element known as RtT RNA. The exact function of RtT is unknown although it is thought that it may be involved in changing the cellular response in relation to amino acid starvation.
Source: RNAcentral
AAUCCCCCGAGGUCGUGUUGGAUGAGAACCUGCGUUCAGGUUCGAGCCGAGCGAAGCGAGACGACAACGCGCAGCGUUGCCCGUAGGGCGAGGCCGAAGGCCGAGUCAAUCCUGCACGAUUGGCAC